RNAcentral lists this ribosomal RNA (278 nucleotides) under uncultured bacterium. Its description in RNAcentral is "partial 16S ribosomal RNA". It matches the Rfam family "Bacterial small subunit ribosomal RNA", at positions 511 to 788 of the family's 1533-position model. The record is from RNAcentral.
GCAGCCGCGGUAAUACGUAGGGGGCAAGCGUUAUCCGGAUUUACUGGGUGUAAAGGGAGCGUAGACGGUCUUGCAAGUCUGAAGUGAAAGCCCGGGGCUCAACCCCGGGACUGCUUUGGAAACUGUAUGACUAGAGUGUCGGAGAGGCAAGUGGAAUUCCUAGUGUAGCGGUGAAAUGCGUAGAUAUUAGGAGGAACACCAGUGGCGAAGGCGGCUUGCUGGACGAUGACUGACGUUGAGGCUCGAAAGCGUGGGGAGCAAACAGGAUUAGAUACCCC